This 251-nucleotide long non-coding RNA is filed under the name Elaeis guineensis (African oil palm). Its description in RNAcentral is "long non-coding RNA (EGUI_LNC016696)". The record is from RNAcentral. Lineage: Eukaryota; Viridiplantae; Streptophyta; Magnoliopsida; Arecales; Arecaceae.
CUAAGCAUCCAAUCGUACUCAUCUUUUCAUAUCUAUAAAUAGGAAAGAUAUCGCACUUUUAGUGUAUCAGAACAAUAUCUCUUUCCAUCCGAAUAACAUCAGAUUAGAGGAGAGAAUUGAGAGCACUAAUUGAGCGAACUCAAAUACACCCAUUAAGCACUUAAGAAGAGGAUUGUGUCCACAUAAAAGAGGAUUGAGAGAAAAAUUAUUUCAAUCAAGUUUUUUGAUUUUUAACGUAUCUGGAUUUGGCU